Molecule: long non-coding RNA, 1162 nt
Organism: Triticum dicoccoides
Lineage: Eukaryota; Viridiplantae; Streptophyta; Magnoliopsida; Poales; Poaceae
Exons: 6
Source: RefSeq, a predicted model, not a curated record
UUUUGAUUACCAUGCCAUUUUUUCUUUUUCCAUUACUUUUUCUUUUUCCAUUUCAAUUUCCUGUCACCUGAAAGGACCAAAGUACCCUUACCUCUUUCUACCUUAUCCAAUGUGUUUGUGGUUAUCCGAUUGCUCUGUGGCUAGCUUGUUCUGGUCGCCAUGGUUGCUCGCCGGCGUACGCCGCUGAUGCCUGCGCGAGGUACCCUAACUCGCCGCCCUAGCUUCCCACGCCUGAGCGAGUAACUGCAGGUCGCCGCCGGUGCUCGCCCAUGGCUGCGCGCGCCGCUUCAACUCACCCUCGUCACUGCAGCUCUCCGCCGGCGCUCGUCCAUGUCUGCACGCGCCGGCGCAGCUCGCGCUCGCGUGGCGGAUGCUUGCGCUCUGUGGGUGCUUGCCCUCGCCUUGCGGAUGCUUGCGCGUGCCAGCACAGCUCAUUGCGGGUGCUCGCCCAGCUCAUUGCGGGUGCUCGCCCAGGCCUGCGCGCGACAACACAGCUCGCCCUCCCCUGCGUACGUUGGCGCAGCUCGCUCCGCGACAUGCUGGAGAAGUGGGUGGCGCUGAACAUCAGCACCAGUGGCGUGAUGGCAGCAGCAGCUGGAGGAGGAGAUGGAUGCGUGUGAAGUUCUGAAGAUGUUGAAUGCAAGCAACCUAGAACACAACUUUUAGAUACCUUUGAAGAGCAAUAAGAUAUCGAUAUGUCAGGGAGUUCUAGCGACGCAUUAUACAAGGAGCUAUGGCAUGCUUGGGCUAGGCCGUUGAUCACAGUGCCUCGCCAAGGUGAAAGGAUUUACAACUUUCCGCAUGUUUAUAUGGAACAGAUGAGGAAGGGACUAACACAGAAUAAACAAUACCUCGUCAUCUCGAAUGUAGGGCUCAUACCAAGUCCAUAAGGUAUCUGGUUCCGCAACAUACCGCAGGUCCUUGAUCUGCUUCGUGGUAAGUUUCAUGGUGAAGGACUUGUAAAGGAGGCAGAAGGCCUUGGAGGGGACAAUGCGGACGGGAUUGGUGAGGGCAAUGAAGAUCUGAGGAUUUCAAGGCAUAGCCUCUUCUCUAUGAGCAACUCGAAGGGCCGUUUAGACGACUUCAUCUCCAUUUACGUACCCACUGCAAACCAACAUCACACAAUUAUCUCUAAGAUUCAUUUUUUUUUCUGGCAUCAAAA